Molecule: ribosomal RNA, 253 nt
Filed under: uncultured bacterium
Lineage: Bacteria
Description: partial 16S ribosomal RNA
Rfam family: Bacterial small subunit ribosomal RNA
Source: RNAcentral
UACGAAGGGUGCUAGCGUUGUUCGGAAUUACUGGGCGUAAAGCGCGCGUAGGCGGCUAUUCAAGUCAGAGGUGAAAUCCCUGGGCUCAACCCAGGAACUGCCUUUGAAACUGUAUAGCUUGAGUGUCGGAGGGGAUAGCGGAAUUCCUAAUGUAGAGGUGAAAUUCGUAGAUAUUAGGAGGAACACCGGUGGCGAAGGCGGCUAUCUGGACGACAACUGACGCUGAGGCGCGAAAGCGCGGGGAUCAAACAGG